UACGUAGGGUGCAAGCGUUGUCCGGAAUUAUUGGGCGUAAAGAGCUCGUAGGCGGUCUGUUGCGUCGGCUGUGAAAACCCGAGGCUUAACCUCGGGCCUGCAGCCGAUACGGGCAGGCUAGAGUUCGGCAGGGGAGACUGGAAUUCCUGGUGUAGCGGUGAAAUGCGCAGAUAUCAGGAGGAACACCGGUGGCGAAGGCGGGUCUCUGGGCCGAUACUGACGCUGAGGAGCGAAAGCGUGGGGAGCGAACAGG
This 253-nucleotide ribosomal RNA is filed under the name uncultured bacterium. RNAcentral describes it as "partial 16S ribosomal RNA". It matches the Rfam family "Bacterial small subunit ribosomal RNA", at positions 524 to 776 of the family's 1533-position model. The record is from RNAcentral.